Long non-coding RNA from Sapajus apella (tufted capuchin), 149 nucleotides. RefSeq lists it as uncharacterized. The record is from RefSeq and is a predicted model, not a curated record. Lineage: Eukaryota; Metazoa; Chordata; Mammalia; Primates; Cebidae. The transcript is spliced from 3 exons.
AGUGUGUAUGUGUUUGUGGAGAUAAAGGGGGCCAAAUUUCCUAAAUGCAUUAGGCAGCUGGAUAGUAUUUAGAAGCCAUGAGAAAAAAAAGAGUAAGAUUUGUAAUAUAUCCCUAGCUUCAACUGCAUUUCACAAAUACACCUAUGCAU